This 206-nucleotide unclassified non-coding RNA is filed under the name Hevea brasiliensis (rubber tree). Lineage: Eukaryota; Viridiplantae; Streptophyta; Magnoliopsida; Malpighiales; Euphorbiaceae. The record is from RNAcentral.
UGAAGAUCAAAACCAGUAGAACGAGGAAUUUAAAGCACAAUAACUAUUGUUUCGGACAGUCUCUAGCUAUACCUUUAAAAACUAAGGCUUCUUAUAUAUUUGACUACUACAACUGUCAGUAAUUAAUACGCAAAAUCCUUAGCAUUUAUCCCAUAUAAAUGUUUAAGAGAAGGGAACAAAUCAUUGAGAUUAAAAUUAUGUCCUAA